RNAcentral lists this ribosomal RNA (230 nucleotides) under uncultured bacterium. RNAcentral describes it as "partial 16S ribosomal RNA". It matches the Rfam family "Bacterial small subunit ribosomal RNA", at positions 562 to 791 of the family's 1533-position model. The record is from RNAcentral.
AAAGCGUGCGCAGGCGGUUUUGUAAGACUGUCGUGAAAUCCCCGGGCUCAACCUGGGAAUGGCGAUGGUGACUGCAAGGCUAGAGUUUGGCAGAGGGGGGUAGAAUUCCACGUGUAGCAGUGAAAUGCGUAGAUAUGUGGAGGAACACCGAUGGCGAAGGCAGCCCCCUGGGUCAAAACUGACGCUCAUGCACGAAAGCGUGGGGAGCAAACAGGAUUAGAUACCCCUGU